RNAcentral lists this ribosomal RNA (497 nucleotides) under uncultured bacterium. RNAcentral's name for it is "partial 16S ribosomal RNA". It matches the Rfam family "Bacterial small subunit ribosomal RNA", at positions 28 to 507 of the family's 1533-position model. The record is from RNAcentral.
GAUGAACGCUGGCGGCGUGCCUAAUACAUGCAAGUCGAGCGAACGGACGAGGAGCUUGCUUUUCUGAUGUUAGCGGCGGACGGGUGAGUAACACGUGGAUAACCUACCUAUAAGACUGGUAUAACUUCGGGAAACCGGAGCUAAUACCGGAUAAUAUUUUGAACCGCAUGGUUCAAUAGUAAAAUACGGUGUUUCUGUCACUUAUAGAUGGAUCCGCGCUGCAUUAGCUAGUUGUUAAGGUAACGGGUUACCACGGCAACGAUGCGUAGCCGACCUGAGAGAGGGAUAGCCGACACUGGAACGGGACCACGGUCAAGAGUCCUGCGGGAGGCAGCAGUAGGGAAUCUUCCGCAGUGGGCGAAAGCAUGACGGAGCAACGCGGAGUGAGUGAUGACGGUCUUCGGAUCGUAAAACUCUGUUACUAGGGAAAAACAUAUGUGUAAGGAAAUGUGGACAGCGUGACGGUACCUAAUCAGAAAGCAACGGCUAACUACGUG